CCUUGAUCCCCCCGACGUGCGCGGUUCGCCGCCGGCGACGUCGCGAGAAUUCCACUGAACCUUAUCAUUUAGAGGAAGGAGAAGUCGUAACAAGGUUUCCGUAGGUGAACCUGCGGAAGGAUCAUUGUCGAACCCUGCAAGGCAGAACGACCCGUGAACANUGUAAAUACAACUGGGUGAUGGGGAGACUGACAUUGGUCCUUAUCCUCAUCCUCUCCUGGCAUGCGUUUGUGGUGCCUUGUAUGGGGUGCCAUAGAUGACACGCUGGACCAUAACAAAAACCCGGCACGGCAUGUGCCAAGGAAAACAAAAAUUGAGAUGGACUCGUCUUGUGUUGCCCCGUUCGCGGUGUGCAUGCAGUUCGUGGCCUCUUUGUAAUUACAACGACUCUCGGCAACGGAUAUCUCGGCUCACGCAUCGAUGAAGAACGUAGCAAAAUGCGAUACUUGGUGUGAAUUGCAGAAUCCCGUGAACCAUCGAGUUUUUGAACGCAAGUUGCGCCCGAAGCCAUCCGGUCGAGGGCACGCCUGCCUGGGCGUCACGCAUCGCGUCGCCCCCACCAUAUCUUGGUGAUGGGAGCGGAGAUUGGUCUCCCGUACUUGGUUGCGGUUGGCCUAAAAAGGAGUCCCCUACAGCGGACACACGACUAGUGGUGGUUGAANUAGACCCUNCGUUUUUAUCGUGUGUCGUGAGNNCUGUUNUGGGAAGCCCUCAACUAAANACCCGAUUNGUAUCGUUUUAGGACGGUGCUUCGACCGCGACCCCAGGUCAGGCGGGACUACCCGCUGAGUUUAAGCAUAUCAAUAAGCGGA
This 812-nucleotide ribosomal RNA is filed under the name Hypochaeris sessiliflora (chikku chikku). RNAcentral's name for it is "eukaryotic LSU rRNA". The stretch from base 386 to 541 matches the Rfam family "5.8S ribosomal RNA". Lineage: Eukaryota; Viridiplantae; Streptophyta; Magnoliopsida; Asterales; Asteraceae. The record is from RNAcentral.